GGGCACGUAGCUCAGCGGGAGAGCACUACGUUGACAUCGUAGGGGUCACUGGUUCAAUCCCAGUCGUGCCCACCA
RNAcentral lists this transfer RNA (75 nucleotides) under Rhodospirillaceae bacterium. RNAcentral's name for it is "tRNA-Val". It matches the Rfam family "tRNA". Rfam says of the family: Transfer RNA (tRNA) molecules are approximately 80 nucleotides in length. Their secondary structure includes four short double-helical elements and three loops (D, anti-codon, and T loops). Further hydrogen bonds mediate the characteristic L-shaped molecular structure. tRNAs have two regions of fundamental functional importance: the anti-codon, which is responsible for specific mRNA codon recognition, and the 3' end, to which the tRNAs corresponding amino acid is attached (by aminoacyl-tRNA synthetases). tRNAs cope with the degeneracy of the genetic code in two manners: having more than one tRNA (with a specific anti-codon) for a particular amino acid; and 'wobble' base-pairing, i.e. permitting non-standard base-pairing at the 3rd anti-codon position. RNAcentral also lists the same sequence under 1 other name. The record is from RNAcentral. Lineage: Bacteria; Pseudomonadati; Pseudomonadota; Alphaproteobacteria; Rhodospirillales; Rhodospirillaceae.